RNAcentral lists this ribosomal RNA (254 nucleotides) under uncultured bacterium. RNAcentral's name for it is "partial 16S ribosomal RNA". It matches the Rfam family "Bacterial small subunit ribosomal RNA", at positions 524 to 776 of the family's 1533-position model. The record is from RNAcentral.
UACGUAGGGUGCGAGCGUUAAUCGGAAUUACUGGGCGUAAAGCGUGCGCAGGCGGUGAUGUAAGACCGAUGUGAAAUCCCCGGGCUUAACCUGGGAACUGCAUUGGUGACUGCAUCGCUCGAGUAUGGCAGAGGGGGGUAGAAUUCCACGUGUAGCAGUGAAAUGCGUAGAGAUGUGGAGGAAUACCGAUGGCGAAGGCAGCCCCCUGGGUCAAUACUGACGCUCAUGCACGAAAGCGUGGGGGAGCAAACAGG